UUUAAUGUUUGAUGUUCUAACGUGGACCCGUGAUCCGGGUUGCGGACAGUGUCUGGUGGGUAGUUUGACUGGGGCGGUCUCCUCCUAAAGAGUAACGGAGGAGCACGAAGGUUGGCUAAUCCUGGUCGGACAUCAGGAGGUUAGUGCAAUGGCAUAAGCCAGCUUGACUGCGAGCGUGACGGCGCGAGCAGGUGCGAAAGCAGGUCAUAGUGAUCCGGUGGUUCUGAAUGGAAGGGCCAUCGCUCAACGGAUAAAAGGUACUCCGGGGAUAACAGGCUGAUACCGCCCAAGAGUUCAUAUCGACGGCGGUGUUUGGCACCUCGAUGUCGGCUCAUCACAUCCUGGGGCUGAAGUAGGUCCCAAGGGUAUGGCUGUUCGCCAUUUAAAGUGGUACGCGAGCUGGGUUUAGAACGUCGUGAGACAGUUCGGUCCCUAUCUGCCGUGGGCGCUGGAGAACUGAGGGGGGCUGCUCCUAGUACGAGAGGACCGGAGUGGACGCAUCACUGGUGUUCGGGUUGUCAUGCCAAUGGCACUGCCCGGUAGCUAAAUGCGGAAGAGAUAAGUGCUGAAAGCAUCUAAGCACGAAACUUGCCCCGAGAUGAGUUCUCCCUGAGACUUUAGGUCUCCUGAAGGAACGUUGAAGACGACGACGUUGAUAGGCCGGGUGUGUAAGCGCAGCGAUGCGUUGAGCUAACCGGUACUAAUGAACCGUGAGGCUUAACCUU
This 725-nucleotide ribosomal RNA is filed under the name Salmonella enterica. RNAcentral's name for it is "partial 23S ribosomal RNA". It matches the Rfam family "Bacterial large subunit ribosomal RNA", at positions 2206 to 2925 of the family's 2925-position model. The record is from RNAcentral. Lineage: Bacteria; Pseudomonadati; Pseudomonadota; Gammaproteobacteria; Enterobacterales; Enterobacteriaceae.